AAUUGUCAAAGAGCAAAGUAAACUGUGGCAAAAAAUCAAAUCGCCCCCUUCUCUCACGGCCUCUACGAGCAUCCGCAAAUCCUCCUCCUUCCCUAAUCUCCUUCCUUUUGCCUCUCAAUCACGAAUCAGGAUCCAUGGAGCUGUCCGACAAGUGCUACUCGAUCUGCUAUACGGCAGCGGCGGGGACCACCGGCCGUCGGUCUGCCUCUCGCUGCUCAUCCUCCGGGAGGCUGCGCGCGGAGGGAACUCGCUGUUGGCGAGGUUCCGCGGAGUGCCAAGCGGGUGCUCUUCGCCGGCGGGGACGAGCAUGACCUUCUCUUCCCCGGCCUCUUCACCCCCAAGGGCACCGACCCCAGGAAGAUCCCUAGGUUGCCCUACAAGAACCUAAAGUGGCGGCUGCGAGGAGGUGGCCGAUGGGGUUCGGCGACCGGACGGGGGCAUGGGCGUCGAUCUUCCUCCUCCUGCUCCCAGUCGCAGGCGCCGCCACCAUCGACCAGAUCUUCACCACGACCCCUCGCACUACCUUGCCGCCGCUGUGUCGCAGGCCAUCGCCCACGCCCUCAUCUCACUGCCGGCCACCAAGUAUAUGAGGCACGCUGGUGGUGUCAAGUACUUUGGCGAGCUGGAGGAACAUUGCUUUCUAGGGCAAUGAAGUGAAGCUCUACGAACGCCAUGUGGAUAAGCUCUUCACAAUGUUUGGACACAAAGAGCCAAAGAUCGACUAUUAUGUCUGCACCAUCAACAAGACGUUUGCCAAACCAGGCCAGGGCAUGGUAUGCUCAAAUGCAUUGCCUGGUCAAUGUUUACUAACUACACGAUGUAGCAAGUUGUAUCUUCAUACUAUAGACUUAGACUCAAACUUUUUAUUCAUUUUUUAACAGAAAACAUGUUGAUUGAUUCUCACUGAGUAUCUGUGCUUUUAACUUUAUCUUUUGAACACCACUACUGAUGCUUUAGUGCCAUGCCCACACUGUAUGUGAAAAUGACAAAUUUGCUUUGUAUAUCUAUCUGUAAGCCCAAUUUUCUUUCAUCGGUAUUUUAUCUCACUCUAAUACUUUGUUAUACUCAAUAAGAUUCAUUCAACUCUCUUUUGCAAUAUUACUUGUUUCUCUCAGAAUUCUAUAAUCUGUUGUGCUCGGCCAUUCGAUUACCCGCACAUCUAUUUUUAGCUCAUAUAAAAAAAUCAUGUUCUGUUCAUACUACUUAACAGUCAACAGUUUAGUCAUCUUACAAAAACCAAUUAUGUUCCCUUUCCCACUCCAUACAAGAUAGAUCAAGACCUGGGCUAUUGUUAUUUUUCUCCUGCCACUUUCGAAGUCUUUUACUUGAUCUUUUCUAGCUUACUAUAUGACCUGUGUUGUUGUCAUCUUUUACUACUCCCUCCGUUCCUAAAUAUUUGUCUUUUUAGAGAUUUCAGAUGGACUACCACAUAUGGAUGUAUAUAGACAUAUUUUAGAGUGUAGAUUCACUCAUUUUGCUCCAUAUGUAGUCACUUGUUGAAAUCUCGAUAAAGACAAAUAUUUAGGAACGAGGGAGUAUAUGAACUUUCGUACAAGAUAUUUUAAUUUGUUUGUUCUCUACUCAUACAUUAGGGCAGACUCAAAAUUGAGAUAUGGAGACCAGAAAUAUUGAGAUAUGUUUGCUCUUUCAUCUGCCAUUUUACUUGAGCAUUCAUAAAUUUGGGUCCUCUUGAGGUGUAGUCUUUUUUGUUGUUGCAAAGUUUUAGCUAUGUGUACCAAGUGAGCACAUAUUACACGGUUCUUAUAUAUUCCUGUUAGUACAAGUAUAUUCUUUGAGAAGAAUUCUUGCCAUGAACUAACUGCUUUUCUUUGUCUGCAUAGUACUUUCAGGUGGAAUACACAGAGGGUGAGCUCCAUAAGUACAAUCAUGAAGAUGAUGACACUCUCUCACUCAAGCUCGUAGACGGCACAAUGACCUAUGACACCCGAUUCAUCCUUGGAACCGGCAAGAGGGCUACCAUCGCGACGAACUGGUCAUGGUUUCGCCACCACGCCAACAUCCACGAGGGUGAAAUAUGUGUCUUCCAUUUCAAGCGCAAAGCAGUGCGCCGCCUUUCGCGCACGGUCCAUCACGUCUACACGCAAUGAUGUCUCUGCUGUCUAUCGCGUAUGCAUAUGAUCCAUCUAUCAUCUUUAGCUUAUCUAAUACUUGAUAUUCCUGCGUUAUGAUGAUGCGAUGAACUCUGCCUCUCCUUUUGGAACAUCUUAGGCAUUGAUUUCAAUCAAUUGCUGUGCUAUAGCAUCCAGCUUGUAAGACUUUGACCUACCUGUUCAUAUAGACCUCCUGGUUGCUAUGCUAUAUUAGUCAACACUCUAAUGAUGUAUUUCUGUGAAGUGUGCUUUUUUUAAACAUUUGGCGAUCA
Triticum aestivum (bread wheat) is the source of this 2383-nucleotide long non-coding RNA. RefSeq lists it as uncharacterized. NCBI's taxonomy places the organism in Eukaryota, Viridiplantae, Streptophyta, Magnoliopsida, Poales, Poaceae. The transcript has 3 exons. The record is from RefSeq and is a predicted model, not a curated record.